UUAAAGAAACAAAUGCUGCCCUUGAA
This 26-nucleotide non-coding RNA is filed under the name Homo sapiens (human). Lineage: Eukaryota; Metazoa; Chordata; Mammalia; Primates; Hominidae. The record is from RNAcentral.